CUUGUGGGUAAUAGGCUUUCCUUCCUUG
Molecule: microRNA, 28 nt
Filed under: Cucumis sativus (cucumber)
Lineage: Eukaryota; Viridiplantae; Streptophyta; Magnoliopsida; Cucurbitales; Cucurbitaceae
Description: cst-miR11332
Source: miRBase by way of RNAcentral